GGAAUCGGCUAGGCAGUCGCUGCUUUAAGACAUCUUAAGGUGGAGGAAAGUCCGGGCUCCACAGGGCAAGGUGCCAGGUAACGCCUGGGAGGCGCGAGCCUACGGAAAGUGCCACAGAAAAUAUACCGCCCCGCAAGGGGUAAGGGUGAAAUGGUGCGGUAAGAGCGCACCGCGCCGAUGGCAACAUCGGUGGCAGGGUAAACCCCACCUGGAGCAAGACCGAAUAGGGGGACCAUGAUGCGGCCCGCAUCGUCCCCGGGUAGGUUGCUAGAGGCGCCUGGUGACAGGCGUCCCAGAGGAAUGACUGCCCACGACAGAACCCGGCUUACCGGCCGAUUCCCACC
This 344-nucleotide RNase P RNA is filed under the name Gammaproteobacteria bacterium. RNAcentral's name for it is "RNase P RNA component class A". It matches the Rfam family "Bacterial RNase P class A". Rfam says of the family: Ribonuclease P (RNase P) is a ubiquitous endoribonuclease, found in archaea, bacteria and eukarya as well as chloroplasts and mitochondria. The record is from RNAcentral. Lineage: Bacteria; Pseudomonadati; Pseudomonadota; Gammaproteobacteria.